UAUUAAAGUUGUUGCAGUUAAAAAGCUCGUAGUUGGAUCUCGGGCGCAGGCUAGCGGUCCACCUCGCGGUGGUUACUGCUCGUCCUGCCCUACCAUCGGGUUUUCCCUUGGUGCUCUUCGCUGAGUGUCUCGGGUGGCCAGAACGUUUACUUUGAAAAAAUUAGAGUGUUCAAAGCAGGCGCAUCGCCUGAAUAAUGGUGCAUGGAAUAAUGGAACAGGACCUCGGUUCUAUUUUGUUGGUUUUCGGAAGUCGAGGUAAUGAUUAAGAGGGACAGAUGGGGGCAUUCGUAUUACGGUGUUAGAGGUGAAAUUCUUGGAUCGCCGUAAGACGAACUACUGCGAAAGCAUUUGCCAAGAAUGUUUUCAUUAAUCAAGAACGAAAGUCAGAGGUUCGAAGACGAUCAGAUACCGUCGUAGUUCUGACCAUAAACGAUGCCAACUAGCGAUCCGCCGGAGUUGUUUUAAUGACUCGGCGGGCAGCUUCCGGGAAACCAAAGUUUGUGGGUUCCGGGGGAAGUAUGGUUGCAAAGCUGAAACUUAAAGGAAUUGA
This 550-nucleotide ribosomal RNA is filed under the name uncultured metazoan. RNAcentral describes it as "SSU rRNA". It matches the Rfam family "Eukaryotic small subunit ribosomal RNA", at positions 602 to 1156 of the family's 1831-position model. The record is from RNAcentral. Lineage: Eukaryota; Metazoa.